Molecule: ribosomal RNA, 301 nt
Filed under: uncultured bacterium
Lineage: Bacteria
Description: partial 16S ribosomal RNA
Rfam family: Bacterial small subunit ribosomal RNA
Source: RNAcentral
CAGCCGCCGCGGGAAAACGGGGGGGGCAAGCGUUGUUCGGAAUUAUUGGGCGUAAAGGGUGCGUAGGCGGCUUGACAAGUCUUGUGUGAAAUCUAUGGGCUCAACCCAUAGUCUGCACGGGAAACUGUCGGGCUUGAGAAUGGGAGAGGUGAGUGGAAUUUCCGGUGUAGCGGUGAAAUGCGUAGAUAUCGGAAGGAACACCUGUGGCGAAAGCGGCUCACUGGACCAUUUCUGACGCUGAUGCACGAAAGCUAGGGGAGCAAACAGGAUUAGAUACCCCGGUAGUCCCUGUCUCUUAUAC